Long non-coding RNA from Manis javanica (Malayan pangolin), 1755 nucleotides. RefSeq lists it as uncharacterized. NCBI's taxonomy places the organism in Eukaryota, Metazoa, Chordata, Mammalia, Pholidota, Manidae. The record is from RefSeq and is a predicted model, not a curated record.
AAGUCAUAGUUAAUAGAUGGUGGAGCUAGGACUUAAACUGAAGAUUCUCCAACUUCAAAGCCCAUGACCUUUCCACAAAUCACAUGUUUCCUCCAAGGCCUGCACCUGGAAGGUUCUGGGUUGUUUAACUGCUCUGCACUGCACUAAAUAGGACUGCAAGAUCAGCUUGCAGCUGGGGCCUGGCCAUCUUCACAGCCCAUCCAUGAAAUCCUAGACAGCCGGCAUGCAUGGAGACAAAGCUCAGAUCCUCUUCCUGGCAGGAGGCUGUCUUCUGGCACAUGCGGCCGGCACUCCACUUCCUGGGAUCAGAUGAAGCCCUCAGCCCUCUCAAGUUCAUGGGUUUGUCCCUGAUGUCCAGCCCAGAAACUGUCUGCUUCCAGGAUCCCUAGAGAAUGAGACAUUAUUGGCUUCUGGGAUGUUUUUCUGGUCACGGAGCCCUCAAGGUGAAAGGUCUCUUGGAUGGAAGGGAACAGGCCAAGUUUAUCCAGCCCUGCAAGGCGUCAGGCGGCCCGGAGCCACAUUCCGUUAGGAUCCAUGGAACAGCUGAGGCUGCUUCUCCUCAGCAUGAUACCUGCCCUCCGAGGACAGCGCUCUUCCUGCCCUGCUGUGCAGCUGACAUAAGGCAGAAAUCCCACUGCAGAGCUCCCUUCAGGCUGGACCCUGUGCACAGGCCCUUGGAAACUCCCUCUUCUCUCUCUGCCUCCCCCUUCGGCGUAUGGGGACAAGAGGAACUUGCGAAAGGGUAUGUGCUCUUGUCCUGCAAUGUCUCGUAGGAAUACAGGAGAGAGAAGAAGGGAGAAGAGUAUUUCCAUGCAUGUGAAUACCCAUUAUGUGCCAGCCAUUUGACAUGCAUCAUCCCAUUCAAUCAUCACUCAUCCUGUGGUAUGAAAGAGCUGCAGACUUGGGAUCAGAGCUGCUGUCUGUGGAUCCCUGCGCACCCAACCAAUUAUCUGUAUCACCUUAAGCAAGUUGCUUCACCUCUCUAAGUUUCUGUUUCUCAUCUAUAAAAUGAAGAUAGUAACCUUUCUCAGGGACCCAGAGGAGUGAGAAAACGAGGAAAGGGUGGGAGAAGAGUUGAAUACAUCAAUGUAACAGCAGCAGCUUUUUCCGAAUGAAUGACUACCCAACAAAGAUCAUUUCGUGAGCUUCUACUAGCAGCCAGCAACAAUCCGGAUUCCUGAACAUAACUAUUACCUGCUCUGUUGGUUCACUGUUUUCAGUUUUGCCUUUGAGUCCUUGAUCAGCUAGAGGCAUGGCAAUUGUUGGUAACUGGUAGACACUUUUCUGUUAAAAAGAGCCAGGCUGUCUUGGUUACUCUGGGCCAUGGCUACCACACAUUGAUUGAUAUUCUAUUUCAAAACUGCCUGUAAGUCUUCUAUUUUAUUUCUAUGCCUAUCUUACAUCAAUACAACACAAAAAGUGCUGAUGACUUAUUUUGCUGUCAUCCACUGGAGUUAGUUUAAAAUAAACACACUUUAGGGCUGUUAAACUAGACAUUAGACACUAUCUAGAAUUAGAUUAUGCCAUCACAUAUUUGUUUUUAAGUGACUUUCACAUGAUUCUUUAGUUGUUUCCUGUUAAAUUAUCAUUUUUCUUUAGCUAUUACCUGUCUACAUUUUUUUCCUAUAACAUAAUGCCUAGGAUAAAACUAUACAUGUUUCACAAAUGCCUAGGGUGCCUAACUGGUUUUCUUGGCUUCACUGGAGAUGGCUGGUAAUUAUAGAUCUGCUUUGGUUAUGUAACUGUAUUCCUAUU